UGGGGAAUUUUGGACAAUGGGCGAAAGCCUGAUCCAGCAAUGCCGCGUGUGUGAAGAAGGCCUUCGGGUUGUAAAGCACUUUUGUCCGGAAAGAAAUCCUUGGCUCUAAUACAGUCGGGGGAUGACGGUACCGGAAGAAUAAGCACCGGCUAACUACGUGCCAGCAGCCGCGGUAAUACGUAGGGUGCAAGCGUUAAUCGGAAUUACUGGGCGUAAAGCGUGCGCAGGCGGUUUGCUAAGACCGAUGUGAAAUCCCCGGGCUCAACCUGGGAACUGCAUUGGUGACUGGCAGGCUAGAGUAUGGCAGAGGGGGGUAGAAUUCCACGUGUAGCAGUGAAAUGCGUAGAGAUGUGGAGGAAUACCGAUGGCGAAGGCAGCCCCCCUGGGCCAAUACUGACGCUCAUGCACGAAAGCGUGGGGGAGCAAACAGGAUUAGAUACCCCUGGUAGUCCACGCCCUAAACGAUGUCAACUAGUUGUUGGGGAUUCAUUUCCUAGUAACGUAGCUAACGCGUGAAGUUGACCGCC
Molecule: ribosomal RNA, 527 nt
Filed under: uncultured bacterium
Lineage: Bacteria
Description: partial 16S ribosomal RNA
Rfam family: Bacterial small subunit ribosomal RNA
Source: RNAcentral